RNAcentral lists this ribosomal RNA (511 nucleotides) under uncultured bacterium. Its description in RNAcentral is "bacterial SSU rRNA". It matches the Rfam family "Bacterial small subunit ribosomal RNA", at positions 11 to 525 of the family's 1533-position model. The record is from RNAcentral.
GUUUGAUCCUGGCUCAGGACGAACGCUGGCGGCGUGCUUAACACAUGCAAGUCGAACGAUGAAGCCUUUCGGGGUGGAUUAGUGGCGAACGGGUGAGUAACACGUGGGCAAUCUGCCCUUCACUCUGGGACAAGCCCUGGAAACGGGGUCUAAUACCGGAUAACACUUCCUCGGGCAUCUGAGGUGGUUAAAAGCUCCGGCGGUGAAGGAUGAGCCCGCGGCCUAUCAGCUUGUUGGUGGGGUGAUGGCCUACCAAGGCGACGACGGGUAGCCGGCCUGAGAGGGCGACCGGCCACACUGGGACUGAGACACGGCCCAGACUCCUACGGGAGGCAGCAGUGGGGAAUAUUGCACAAUGGGCGAAAGCCUGAUGCAGCGACGCCGCGUGAGGGAUGACGGCCUUCGGGUUGUAAACCUCUUUCAGCAGGGAAGAAGCGACUGAGUUUUCUCGGGCGUGACGGUACCUGCAGAAGAAGCACCGGCUAACUACGUGCCAGCAGCCGCGGUAAUA